This 256-nucleotide unclassified non-coding RNA is filed under the name Hevea brasiliensis (rubber tree). The record is from RNAcentral. Lineage: Eukaryota; Viridiplantae; Streptophyta; Magnoliopsida; Malpighiales; Euphorbiaceae.
AGCACGAUAGCUGGGGUUCCACUAAUUGGAGUCCCACAGUUAGCCGAUCAAUUUACGAACAUCAAGAUGGUGGAGGAGGUUUGGGGAACAGGAGUGAGAGCAAGAGUAGAAGAAGGAGGAGGAAUUGUGAAAAGAGAAGAGUUAAAGAGGUGUUUGGGAGUUUUAAUGGGAAAUGGAGAGAAAGGAAAUGAAAUCAGAAGGAAUGUGAAGAAAUAUAGAGAUUUGGCUAUGGAAGCUGUGAAAGUGGGAGGAUCUU